This 489-nucleotide ribosomal RNA is filed under the name uncultured bacterium. Its description in RNAcentral is "partial 16S ribosomal RNA". It matches the Rfam family "Bacterial small subunit ribosomal RNA", at positions 29 to 506 of the family's 1533-position model. The record is from RNAcentral.
AGUGAACGCUGGCGGUAGGCCUAACACAUGCAAGUCGAACGGCAGCACAGAGGAGCUUGCUCCUUGGGUGGCGAGUGGCGGACGGGUGAGGAAUACAUCGGAAUCUACUCUGUCGUGGGGGAUAACGUAGGGAAACUUACGCUAAUACCGCAUACGACCUACGGGUGAAAGCAGGGGAUCUUCGGACCUUGCGCGAUUGAAUGAGCCGAUGUCGGAUUAGCUAGUUGGCGGGGUAAAGGCCCACCAAGGCGACGAUCCGUAGCUGGUCUGAGAGGAUGAUCAGCCACACUGGAACUGAGACACGGUCCAGACUCCUACGGGAGGCAGCAGUGGGGAAUAUUGGACAAUGGGCGCAAGCCUGAUCCAGCCAUACCGCGUGGGUGAAGAAGGCCUUCGGGUUGUAAAGCCCUUUUGUUGGGAAAGAAAUCCAGCCGGCUAAUACCUGGUUGGGAUGACGGUACCCAAAGAAUAAGCACCGGCUAACUUCGU